Non-coding RNA from Paramuricea clavata, 261 nucleotides. NCBI's taxonomy places the organism in Eukaryota, Metazoa, Cnidaria, Anthozoa, Malacalcyonacea, Plexauridae. The record is from the annotation of a GenBank genome assembly.
CACGGGAAAUGUUUUAUAUUUGUUAAUUAUAAACAUAACAUAUAUAUAACAUAUAUACUGGUGGAAACGCUUUUUGGAUACAGAUGCAAAUAGAACAGGUGAUACCUUAUAGGUCUUGGAUGUCGAUGAGAGAUAGAUAUCUAAAACACAUCAGAAUUAGAGCAGCAGAAUCAAUUACAGUACGUAUCUGUGACAUCAAAAUCAGGCGUAUGGUGCACUUUGACGGGUGUCGGUAAAAGCCGGAACCGGGAACCCCACAAG